CGGCGUGGAUAAGACAUGCAAGUCGAGCGCUGGUUAGGCGGUAGCAAUAUCGCUUGACCGGAGCGGCGCAAGGGUGCGUAACACGUGGGUAAUUUGCCAUGAAGUUGGGGAUAACUCGCUGAAAGGCGAGCUAAUACCGAAUGUGACCCGAGGGAGGCAUCUCUCUUUGGUUAAAGCUGGGGACCGUAAGGCCUGACGCUUCAUGAUAAACCCGCGGCCUAUCAGCUAGUUGGUGAGGUAACGGCCCACCAAGGCUAAGACGGGUAGCUGGUCUGAGAGGACGACCAGCCACACUGGAACUGAGACACGGUCCAGACACCUACGGGUGGCAGCAGUCGAGAAUUUUUCACAAUGGGGGAAACCCUGAUGGAGCGACGCCGCGUGGGGGAUGAAUGGCUUCGGCCCGUAAACGCCUGUCAUUUGCGAACAAAUUUCUUCACCCAAUAC
This 447-nucleotide ribosomal RNA is filed under the name uncultured bacterium. Its description in RNAcentral is "bacterial SSU rRNA". It matches the Rfam family "Bacterial small subunit ribosomal RNA", at positions 40 to 465 of the family's 1533-position model. The record is from RNAcentral.